AAAGAAAUUGUUUUACAAGAUAGACAGAAUAGUUUUAUUUAAUCAUGAGUGGUAAGAAAACACAGAAAUCUCCCCGUUUGGAUUGUAUAUCACUGAUCAAGAAUAAAGCUCUGCAUUUUGAUGCAAUUGGUUACUUGAAAGCAAAGGAAUUGCAAAAAGAUGUCAAAAGAGUUAAAGAAAUAGACAAAGAAAAUAUGAAGCUGUUGAAAAAAAUAAACUUAAUUCAUCGAUUUGGGGGAUAUGUAGAUUGCUGGGCGCCUCAUAUCAAGUACAAAUCAAAUCUGAUUGACAGCCAAAAUCGUAAAAAUACUAAAAUUAUGCAAGAAAAUAAAGUUCUGUUGCGAAAAAUCUGUCAGGCGGAAAGUCAGUAUCCCAGGCGCAAGUUAUUGAAAGCUUGGCAAAGUCAUAAAAAAAGUGUGGAACAUCGAUCAAAGUCCAGAAAAAUAUAAAUAAAAUAUACACAUACAUUAACGUGAUAUUGUAGUAGAUUGAUUCAACGAAGGACUGGUGCAUUAGAUAUUAGAUUAUACCAAAGACAGUUAGCCCAGAAAAUGUAAUUAAACAAUGUUUCUUUGAUAUCGGAGUCAAAGUGGAAAAUUGGAAAUUAGGGCGUAUAGUGUUUCAACUCUACAAUGUCGUACCGCUCACAUGAGAGAACUUCGCAGCUUUUUGAAAUAAACGGAAAUUACUCUAUUUCAUCGAAUUGUCUGCGGUUACUGAUGUCAGAACGGAGAUGUCACAAAGUUUAAUAAUACCGACGGUACCUCUAUAUACGGCGACUCAUUUGAAAAGGAAACCUUCAAUUUGCGUUACAGUCCCGGUAUUCUAUCUACCCUAUGACGAUGAUAAUGGCAGAAACUAUUCCAAGUUUAAUCUCACUUUUAAGCGUUCGCUAUCCGCGAACAAUGAUAAAAUUGUUUUCGGCCAAGUGAUCAAAAAAAUGGCUAAUAUUUAAAAGAUUUUAGCGCGUACGUGCGUUUAAAUUAAACCGCAGAGAUAAACUAUUCAUGUCCGCCAUGAUUAAAUAGAUUGAGGUAUUUGGUACGAAGACUGGGAAGCUAAUAAAAUCAGUGAUUGCAUUAAAUUGCGGAGUUCUGUUGAAUAAACGUGCAAUGUCAGAGCUGCAAAUAUGAUCAGGAUACAUUAUCUUCAUCAGAUGAGGAUGUAAUUUAUCACAUAAUCUAUAUAUAAAUACUAUCGAUAUUUAACUUAAGUCGAAUUUUAUCAAAACUUCACACAAAUAAAGUAAA
Molecule: long non-coding RNA, 1250 nt
Organism: Pseudomyrmex gracilis
Lineage: Eukaryota; Metazoa; Arthropoda; Insecta; Hymenoptera; Formicidae
Exons: 5
Source: RefSeq, a predicted model, not a curated record